GCAGGUGGUGCUACUGAGAAGCGAAGUCACGGAGGCGAGCGGUGGCUUUUCAACUCCACACGGGAGCCAAGGGCAAGGAGAACGGAGAGCACCUGCGUGAUGCCAACGGGCGAUCCUCCCCCAUUCCGGCAGGUGGAUGCCAGCACACCACGUGGAAAAAAGAUGAUCUAGAUCAGCGUGUUUCUCAACCUUGGCAACUUUAAGAUGUGUGGAUCAACUCCCAGAAUUCCCCAGCCAGCAUGAUCUAGAUGAUUGCUGGCAAUCACCAUUUUAAUUUCUCUAUCUGGGCAUUGCUCUGUUGCGGUUUCUUGGACCAGAUUUCUUGGGUAGAGAAAAAGAUGCCUGAUGUACCUCAGUCUUCCUUGUAGUAAUAUGUUGGGCCUCCAACUUUCACAAUUCCUAAUGACCAUGUUGGCUGGGAAAUUCCAAAAACUGUAGUCAUAUCACAUCUGCAGCAGGUUGGGAAAGAAGAACCUAAAUCAAUAUAUUUCAAGGAGAAAAGCAAAGGAGAAGAGAGGA
Long non-coding RNA from Python bivittatus (Burmese python), 519 nucleotides. RefSeq lists it as uncharacterized. NCBI's taxonomy places the organism in Eukaryota, Metazoa, Chordata, Lepidosauria, Squamata, Pythonidae. The record is from RefSeq and is a predicted model, not a curated record.